Molecule: ribosomal RNA, 393 nt
Filed under: uncultured bacterium
Lineage: Bacteria
Description: partial 16S ribosomal RNA
Rfam family: Bacterial small subunit ribosomal RNA
Source: RNAcentral
AUACGGAGGAUGCGAGCGUUAUCCGGAUUUAUUGGGAUUAAAGGGUGCGCAGGCGGGCGAUUAAGUCAGCGGUGAAAGGCUCGGGCUCAACCGGAGCAGUGCCGUUGAUACUGGUUGUCUUGAAUGCGGUCAAGGCCGGCGGAAUGUGGCGGGUAGCGGUGAAAUGCAUAGAUAUGCCACAGAACACCGAUAGCGAAGGCAGCUGGCCGGGCCUGCAUUGACGCUGAGGCACGAAAGCGUGGGGAUCGAACAGGAUUAGAUACCCUGGUAGUCCACGCUGUAAACGAUGGACACUCGUUGUCGGCGACAGACAGUCGGCGGCCAAGCGAAAGUGAUAAGUGUCCCACCUGGGGAGUACGGUCGCAAGGCUGAAACUCAAAUGAAUUGACGGGG